AAGGCUGAAAAACCAGCACAAUUUCAGUGAAGGAGCCCAUAUUUCCAGGGGAAUGAACUGAAGGCAUUUUCAGCCAGCUUGUGUUAAGAUAGUCUGAUCUCCAAAUCAGACCGAAGUACCAAAAGAGUACUUACACACAGAACAAAAUAUUAACCAGAAAGACAAAACCCUAAAAUAGAUGCUGAAUAAGACCUGGAGAGCUUUAAAUGCAGAGAAGACGUGAGACUGAAUCCAGGAGAAAGAACUUCAAACUUCAGUUUCCAUGAGAAAAGCAGUGACAAUAAUGGGCUGCAAUGUGGUUUCUGCCACCUGUUUGCUCACAAGUCUGGACCUAUUUCUUCAGCAGAGAUAGGUUUACUUGGGAUCAGCAGAGGAUUGCAAUUCUGGAGACUGCAACUGUGGCCAGCCAUGGGCAAGUUCCCCACAUGGCAAGAGUAAAUGCUGGAGAAGCCUUAGAACUAACCUGAAGAUGUUGGUGAAUUUCCAAAGUUAAUUUAGAGCUAUACAUAAACUCCCAGUCACAGACUGAAGCUUACGACCAUGACCGGUUUCAGAAAUGUAUGCCAGCGGAAGUAGGGGUCAGGAUCCUAAUUGUUCAUCAUGAGGAGAACAUGGUGACAAAAAUGACAGAAUGAGGCAGAUGAAGGAUUCACAAGGCUGAGACCAGUGUAGCAGCAAGGCUGUGUUUCUGUCUAGAGACUCUGGAAAUGAAUCUGCUUCUCAAAUGAUUCAGAUUGUUGGCAGUAUUCAGAUACUUGCAAUUGCUGCUGUGGUUAUUUUGUGUCCAUGAGGGAAAGGCAUAGAUCAUUGUGGAGAUGCCACCCAGAGCCCUGACAUCUCCUGAGCUUCUGAAGAUGAAUCCUUUCAGGGUUUCCAGGAAACUUAGGUAAGUGAAUGCAUCUCUGUGUCUAUCUAAACUGCUAAUUGUUGGAUCUUUUGCUACAGCUAUUUUCUAGAGUGCUUUUCAUUCCCCUUCCUAAUUUUCUGGUAGUGAAGUGACAGCAAGAACAGCUAAAUAGAGGGGAACUUUUUUUUACCUGUGACACUGAAAUCUCCCCUUUUUGUCCUCUGUAUCUCCCUUGGGUAUGUUAACACUUUAAUAUAAAAUAGGUAAACUGAUGGUAGUUUGAUUUUUUUUUCUAUUUAUG
Molecule: long non-coding RNA, 1148 nt
Organism: Phacochoerus africanus (Common warthog)
Lineage: Eukaryota; Metazoa; Chordata; Mammalia; Artiodactyla; Suidae
Exons: 6
Source: RefSeq, a predicted model, not a curated record